Molecule: transfer RNA, 22 nt
Filed under: Loxodonta cyclotis (African forest elephant)
Lineage: Eukaryota; Metazoa; Chordata; Mammalia; Proboscidea; Elephantidae
Description: partial tRNA-Arg
Source: RNAcentral
AURAAUAUAUCAUAAUUACCAA